GGUGAAAACUAAUUGGCCUGAAGAAGAGCUUGCGUCUGAUUAGCUAGUUGGUGGGGUAAGAGCCUACCAAGGCGACGAUCAGUAGCUGGUCUGAGAGGAUGAGCAGCCACACUGGGACUGAGACACGGCCCAGACUCCUACGGGAGGCAGCAGUGGGGAAUUUUCCGCAAUGGGCGAAAGCCUGACGGAGCAACGCCGCGUGAGGGAGGAAGGUCUUUGGAUUGUAAACCUCUUUUCUCAAGGAAGAAGUUCUGACGGUACUUGAGGAAUCAGCCUCGGCUAACUCCGUGCCAGCAGCCGCGGUAAUACGGGGGAGGCAAGCGUUAUCCGGAAUUAUUGGGCGUAAAGCGUCCGCAGGUGGUCAGCCAAGUCUGCCGUCAAAUCAGGUUGCUUAACGACCUAAAGGCGGUGGAAACUGGCAGACUAGAGAGCAGUAGGGGUAGCAGGAAUUCCCAGUGUAGCGGUGAAAUGCGUAGAGAUUGGGAAGAACAUCGGUGG
This 498-nucleotide ribosomal RNA is filed under the name Microcystis sp. 0QU37S4. Its description in RNAcentral is "bacterial SSU rRNA". It matches the Rfam family "Bacterial small subunit ribosomal RNA", at positions 198 to 715 of the family's 1533-position model. Lineage: Bacteria; Bacillati; Cyanobacteriota; Cyanophyceae; Chroococcales; Microcystaceae. RNAcentral also lists the same sequence under 8 other names. The record is from RNAcentral.